GUUCAAGAGUUGUAGCUUUCGGUACCUGGCUGGCUGCACGGCAACCCUCUUCACCGAGCGGGGUGCCCCAGGGGAAGAACCGGCAUGAACAACCGUUCGUGCAAGUCGAUGGA
Brevibacterium mcbrellneri ATCC 49030 is the source of this 113-nucleotide non-coding RNA. Lineage: Bacteria; Bacillati; Actinomycetota; Actinomycetes; Micrococcales; Brevibacteriaceae. The record is from Rfam.